UUACAAGCUGUGGAAGCACAUUUCUUGUGUGACCGCGUACUUUUUGUAGAACGGGCCAACGAGUUACGUUAAGUAGCAAGGUUAAGCACUUAAGGUGCGGGGCCGUAGCGAAAGCGAGUUUUAACUGGGCGUUCAGUUACUUGACGUAGACCCGAAACCGGGCGACCUACCCAUGAGCAGGAUGAAGCGAAAGUAAAAUUUCGUGGAGGUCCGAACCCACGAGCGUUG
RNAcentral lists this ribosomal RNA (228 nucleotides) under Clostridioides difficile. RNAcentral describes it as "partial 23S ribosomal RNA". It matches the Rfam family "Bacterial large subunit ribosomal RNA", at positions 564 to 791 of the family's 2925-position model. The record is from RNAcentral. Lineage: Bacteria; Bacillati; Bacillota; Clostridia; Peptostreptococcales; Peptostreptococcaceae.